CCUACGGGAGGCAGCAGUGGGGGAUAUUGCACAAUGGGGGAAACCCUGAUGCAGCGACGCCGCGUGGGUGAAGAAGCGCCUCGGCGCGUAAAGCCCUGUCAGCAGGGAAGAAAAUGACGGUACCUGAAGAAGAAGCCCCGGCUAACUACGUGCCAGCAGCCGCGGUAAUUCGUAGGGGGCAAGCGUUAUCCGGAUUUACUGAGUGUAAAGGGGGCGCAGACGGCGAUGCAAGCCAGGAGUGAAAGCCCGGGGCCCAACCCCGGGACUGCUCUUGGAACUGCGUGGCUAGAGCGCAGGAGGGGCAG
RNAcentral lists this ribosomal RNA (305 nucleotides) under uncultured bacterium. RNAcentral describes it as "bacterial SSU rRNA". It matches the Rfam family "Bacterial small subunit ribosomal RNA", at positions 338 to 660 of the family's 1533-position model. The record is from RNAcentral.